This 4013-nucleotide long non-coding RNA is filed under the name Nicotiana tabacum (common tobacco). RNAcentral's name for it is "long non-coding RNA (NTAB_LNC009631)". The record is from RNAcentral. Lineage: Eukaryota; Viridiplantae; Streptophyta; Magnoliopsida; Solanales; Solanaceae.
UAGGAGAGCCGCCGUUUUCCAUCAAAAUGACCCCUUGUUCAUCUUCUUCAAGACCAAAGAAUAGACCCCCGCUGGACCUUCUUCUCCUUCACCUUCCAAAUCCUUUGAACUUCAUCUUCUUCGUCCUUAGGAUCAGCAAAAAACUCAAAAAAAUGGGACCUUAAGGGACCUACACUAAAGAACGGACAGCGCCGUUUCCCUGGACCUUGUUCUUCGCUGCUCUCUCAUCUUCAAUAGAAUCAAACCCACACAAAAAGGAGAACCCAUUUUUCCCUUCAGCAAAGAGAACAGCGGUGCAAAGCAUCAAAAAAUCAGCCACCCCUUUGCCUUCGCUCCACCUUCUCUCUUCAUUUUUCUCUCAUAAAAAGCUUUGAAAAGAGCUCCUGAAGUAUUUAAUACAAAACAUUUUGUUUCUUCAUAUUUUGAUCGAUUUCUGUUUUAAAAGUGAUGGAUUUUCAGUUGAAAUCGAAGUCUGAUUAUGAAUUCGUAGUCGACUGGAAAUUUCUAUCGCCAAUUCGAGUUUUCCGGUCAAGAGUAUUCUGGGUCUGUUGAGCGCUGUUGAUGGAAUUGCCGUGAAGAUGAUGCUGUGUUUCGUUGAUGCUGUUUUGCUAAGCUACAACUUUCCUCUUGCCUUUAUUUGGCUAUUCACGUUUGUAUUUACUGAUGUUUAGAGGUAUUUAUCUCAAUCUCGAAAUAUAAGUGUUGUUUGGAUAUUUAUGUGCUAAAAACUUGCUGAAAUUGCAAGGAAAUGGUAUGAUGUUUUUGGUUAAAAUCUGAUUCUUUACUUCUUUUAGUUUAGUUUAAUAAAAAGGGAAAAUCCUUAAUUGAAAAGUUUAAACAAGAACAGAUCACCACUGGCCGAAGUGGUUUUUGCUAAAGUUGUCAGCGAUGAUUUCUAUUCUCAUUCUUUCUAGAAGUAAAUUUCCUAAUUCUCCUUCAAUAUCCAUUGACAUUGGUGUUUUUUUUUUAAUUUCUCAUAGGCUUCUUCUGUUUGAGAUACAAUGCCUUUUUACUUGAUCGUAUUUUUAUAAAUUCUAAUGAAUUAUUUCAUUGAUGAGGCAACGUAUUCUGUGUUGGGAAGUUCAUUGGAAAAGCUGAAGUUAUGCAAUUUGGUUCAUAAAUCCAACUUUGUAAUUAUGUUUAGAUCCUCUGUUAACACUUUUAUUUGGUCUAGGGAACGAUUUGAAUUUUAGUUGGAGGAUGAUCUUCUUUAAUCCAAUCGAUAAACAAUUUUGUUUGGCUUCAUUUUUGGGAUGGAUGAGGAAGAGGCGUAAACAGAUGUAACUGACUAACUGAGAAAGCUCAUUACUUAGUCAAUUGCUUUAUUGUUUAAAAUAAACUAGUCCACAAAUCUCAUUAAUCUUGCUGAUAUGCUUGCACUGUUUAUUUCUGAACUAGCGCAUCAAAAAAAAAUGAAUAGUUUAAAUUGUAUAUUUAUCUACUUUUUUUUUACCCCCAUGGUUUACUGUGGAGAUCUGGGACUUGUGCUAAUUUGAUGUUGUAUCUAAUUGUCCUGAUGUUGUUUUUUUGCUCGACUCUUUAAUGUGUGCGAAUCUUGUUAGUCGUUGCUCUCGCUGCUCUCAACUCGGACCAAAUAUAUGUGAAGAAGUUUAACUGAGGGGUGCCAUCUACUAUUGAAAUUUAUAAUCUAUGGCCCUCACAUUAAUACCAAAACUAGUGUAGAAGAUACUUUGAACAUUCAUAACUAGUUUAGAAAAUACUUAUGAACAUCAUAGCUUGCUUUAGGCACGAUUAAAUAAAUUAUCACAACUAGGGGUACGGUUCCCCUGGCGUAGUUAUGAUACCUAAUUUUAAACUAUAUUUAAAUGGGAGCAUCCUUAGUUUGCUUUAGUAAAAAUACAAAUAUUUUAAAAAUAAAUCGAGGUGUGCCAAUCACAAUCGAAUCACUUAAAUCUAUGGCCCUCAUAUUAGUAUUAUAACUUAGUAUAGAAAAUAUUUUUAAGCAUUUGUAGCUUGCUUUAGGCGCGCUUAUAAUAAAGUCAUAAUAGCUACGGGUACGGUUCCCGUGACGUAGCUGUGAUACCUAAUUUCCAAAUUCGGAGGUAUAUUUAUGUGACCCGGCCAUAAUUUCUAAUAACUUUAAUAAAUUAAACAUGUUGUAGAUUGUGGGUACAGUUCCUGUGACACGAUUCACAAUGUGUAUCAAACAAACAAGUAUACGACAAUCGUAACUUGUUCCAGAAUAAUUCCAUAGAAUAAUUAAAAGCGGUUAUAAAGUUUAAAAAUGCACAAUAUGUUGAAAAUAUAUAGUAGAUCAGAUAAUAUGCCAAUUAUUAAUAGCUUAAGCGACCGUGCUAGAACUACGGAACCCGGGAAUGCCUAACACCUUCUCCCGGGUUAACAGAAUUCCUUACUUAGAAUUUCUAGUUCGCAGACUUUUGAAUAAAGUCUAAAUUUCCCUGAUUUGAGAUUUAAAAUAAACCGGUGACUUAGGACACCAUAAUAAACUAUUCCAAGUAGCGAUUCCAAAAAAAAAAAAAAUCCCAUUUCGAAUAAUGUCACUUUAAUUGGAAAAGCUCCCUUAUAUCCCCUCUUAGGUGGUAAAAGGAGGUGUGACAUGAGGAAGUUGAGAAAUUGGGGGAAAAGUUCCCCAACCAAAAAUCUGAGAUUUGAGUAGGAUUUAGGCGUCGGAUUUAAUUGAUUUUUGCACGAGUGAUUCUUGAGUGAAUGAGUGUUCAUAAUUUAUGACUUUAACCCGAUUCCGAGAUGUGAGCCCGGAGAGGCUUUUUGGGCUUUUUCUAUUUUCUUGCCUUAGCUUUGAUUCCAUUAGCUAAAUUAGUUGCUUGUAGCUAUAUUUACGUUAUGUAAUUGAUUUGAUUAGAUUUGGGCCACUCGGAGUUGGAUACUCGUGGUAAGAGCGUGAUUUCGGAUUGAUUUGAGCUUGGUUCGAGGUAAGUGGCUUGCCUAACCUUGUGUGGGGGAACUCCCCUUAGGAUUUGGUAUUGUUUGAUAUAUGAGCGUUGUGUACGUGAGGUGACGAGUGCGUACACGAGAUAUUUGGUGAAAAAUCACGUUUUCUUUAAGCAAAUAUUUGUUUUCCUUUAACUGAACAACACUAGUAUAUAUAACUAUCCUGUUUAGCUUAUGAAAGCAUGCCUACUUGCCUUAACUGUCUUAACUGCCUUAACUACCUUAACUGCCUCUCCGAACUCUGUGCAGCAUGUUUAGUGAAAAUUACCUGUCUUUAUUCAUAUGAACUUAGUCUAAACUGUAGAAUUCCUUGUUGAAUUUGUUGUUUAUGUUGAUUGAGUUGCCUAUUUACUUUGGACUACGGAAUGGUAUUCCGAGAGAUCCCCCUACAUGUUUAUGUUUGAGACUACGGGACGGUAUCCCAGGAGAUCUCCCUGUACUAUAUAUUUACUUUGGGACUACAGAAUGGUAUUCCGGGAGAUCCCCCUGCACAUUUACGUUUGGGACUACGGGAUGGUAUCCCGGGAGAUCCCUUGUUAUCUCUGUGUACUGAGUUGUUGUUUUUCUGUGAUUUCAUUCUUGUUAAAUUUAGUAUUUAUUCUUACUGCAAUAUUUCAUUUUGUAUUAUUUUGUUAUAUAUAUCGCUCGGGGGCCCCUGACCUAAUCUCGUCACUACUCGACUGAGGUUAGGCUUGGGACUUACUUGGUACCGCUGUGGUGUACUCAUGCCCUUUCCUGCACAUGUUUUUCGUGUGCAGAUCCAGGUAGCUCACAUUAGUUGCAUUACCAGUGAGGCGAGACGAUUGUAGAGACUUCGAGAUAUAUCUGCCGCAUCCGCAGACCCAAGAGUCCCUAUCUACUCUUCCUUAAGCUAAAGACUUUCUUGUAUUUUCUUCGUUGAUAGAUUCUAGAGUUUAAAAGCAUUGUUUUCUUUCUGUAGCUUGUAAUUCAUGAUAUUUCGGGUUUUGGGAGCAUUUGUGUUCAAUUCGAGGGUGAUUAUUGUAUAUGUCGCGAGACAUCUAAAUUUCUUAAAUAAUUUACCUGUUAAAUUGUUAGUUUUUCAUGUUUUCGUCUUAUUUCCC